This 956-nucleotide long non-coding RNA is filed under the name Gallus gallus (chicken). RNAcentral describes it as "lncRNA (ENSGALG00010014387.1)". Lineage: Eukaryota; Metazoa; Chordata; Aves; Galliformes; Phasianidae. The record is from RNAcentral.
GGCGCAGGGUGAGGGGGACGUUUCUGGCUGUAGGAGCUGUGUUGGAGCUCCGUGGCAGCCUCCUGGAGUUUAACUGAGAACAGAGAGCAGGAGGACUUGUCCUUUCUUUUUCCCAUUUCCAUCAACAGGAUGUUUGUUUCAUUGGCCUGCAGAAGACAAUCAUUUUUAUAGGAUCAGAUAAGAGAAAGAGGUCAUGGGGAUGAAUAUUUUUAAUUGCAGGGGAGAUCCUGGCAAGGGACAGUGUUUUGUGUUUCUCUCUCAGCCAUCAGGCCCUGGAGUGUGUCCAGAGAAUAAGGACAACAAAGCUGUGAGAGGUCUGGAACACAAGUCCGAUGGGGAGCAGCUGAAGGAACUGGGGUUGUUCAGUCUGGAGAAGAGGCUCGGGGGAGACUUCAUUGCUCUCUACAGCCACCUGGAUGAAAGGAGGUUGUGGCAAGAUGGAGAUGUCUGGAAGCAGUUCCUGCGUGGAUCUUGUGGUAACUACAGCACUACUCCUCUAUGACUGAAAAAGGCAGUGAGUGUGGAAUGUGUGAAUGGAGCAAGCAGUUCUUGCACUUCUCUUGCUUUUCUCCAAUUGACACUUCUACUGAUGGGUGGAGAAACUCUUCUGGUUGGUGUUCUCUCUAUCCUCCGAAUGUGAAAAGACAGCAUGACUGCUGAGCUGGUGUAUGGUGUGACCACCACGCAGCUCUUCUAUAAAGGAAGGCUGGAGAGAGUGGGAUGAGAAGUUCCUGUUGUAGCCAUAAAAUGACGAGGAAACGAGCUCUUUGUCCACCAGGCUGCUAGGAAAUCCCUUGAUGAGCAGUGUUUUGACUCAGCUGGAGCCCCACAUGAGUUCCUGCAACCCCUCAGUUAGGAACAGCUGUGACAUAAAACCACAGCUUCUCUUGAAACGCUGGGUGAAACACUGCAGCCAUUGCAGUAAAGGGAUGCUUCGGUAGUAUUUUGAAUAGGAC